Molecule: ribosomal RNA, 330 nt
Filed under: uncultured bacterium
Lineage: Bacteria
Description: SSU rRNA
Rfam family: Bacterial small subunit ribosomal RNA
Source: RNAcentral
AGAACGAACGCUGGCGGCGUGGAUAAGACAUGCAAGUCGAGCGAGAUAAGUUUUGUAGCAAUACAGAGCUUGUUUAGCGGCGAACGGGUGCGUAACACGUGAGAACCUGCCCAAAAGAGGGGGAUAGCCCGCCGAAAGGCGGAUUAAUACCGCAUAUUAACAAAGCAGCAAUGCGCUUUUGGAUGGGCUCGCGGCCUAUCAGCUUGAUGGUGAGGUAACGGCUCACCAUGGCGAUGACGGGUAGCUGGUCUGAGAGGACGACCAGCCACACUGGGACUGAGACACGGCCCAGACACCUACGGGUGGCAGCAGUCGAGAAUUUUUCACAAU